GGGCCGUUCAGAGCCACGUGAAGUUUGUUACGAAAAGUGGAGUGGUGUCCAUUGUCGCGACUUGCCAGAGAGUGGUGGAGCCACGUGGAAUCUGUUACAGAGAGUGGAGUAGGGUAGCAGCCAUUGUCGCGACUUGCCAGAGAGUUCGGAUCUGUCGGCUGAAGCUCGGUUGGGAUGUCUGAUGGAGCGAAUAGCUCUCUAUCUCG
RNAcentral lists this long non-coding RNA (206 nucleotides) under Elaeis guineensis (African oil palm). RNAcentral's name for it is "long non-coding RNA (EGUI_LNC080962)". Lineage: Eukaryota; Viridiplantae; Streptophyta; Magnoliopsida; Arecales; Arecaceae. The record is from RNAcentral.